Molecule: non-coding RNA, 497 nt
Organism: Anas platyrhynchos (mallard)
Lineage: Eukaryota; Metazoa; Chordata; Aves; Anseriformes; Anatidae
Source: RefSeq, a predicted model, not a curated record
GGCUGUGAUGGCUAUGAUAGCUGUGAUGAGUUAAAAGCAUGAACACCUGGAAGGCCGGGGAGGAGGGGAGGUGAGCAGGAAACAGGAUGCCUGCUGAGUCAUCGGGACUUAGAAGAUGAAGGCUUGGAAUGCCCAGGGAUGAUUUAAUCUAGAAAACAGAAGAUGACUUUUGUUACAGGAAGCACAGUUCCCUUUUCAGCAUUUUCUUGGCAUGGUUUAGAAGAGUUCAGCUGCAGGAUCCCCACCCAUGGCUGGCUAGUGACCUUGUGCUGCUGCAGAGCUUCCAGUCCUUCAUCUGCUCAACAAAAGAACAAUUCUGGAAACUUCCCUGGAUUGCUCCAGUUUGAUGUGAGCUGGAUACGUGAUCAGGGAGGUUCAUCUGGCUCUUUGCAGGGGUUUGGGGAGUAGAGGCAUUUGAGAUAGGGGAGCCCACCAGUGUGGUGGGACUAGUAGUCCAUCCACUACCCAGCAGCUCCUCAGGUUUUAUGAAUCUACAA